This is an RNA transcript of Cervus elaphus (red deer), 5497 nucleotides long. It is a transcript of the gene named Rho guanine nucleotide exchange factor 40, with no coding region annotated. NCBI's taxonomy places the organism in Eukaryota, Metazoa, Chordata, Mammalia, Artiodactyla, Cervidae. The record is from RefSeq and is a predicted model, not a curated record. The transcript is spliced from 25 exons.
GCGGAGGCGGAGGCGGAGGCGGGCACUGCAGGGCGGGGCGAGGAGGGGCGGCCGUCUCGACCCUCCCUGGUGGGGCCCCGCGGCCUGGGAGCCCGAGCGGGCCGAGCCGCCACCGCGGCCGGAGCUGUCCCCUAGCCAGACCCGGCGAGACGCGAGCGGCGGGAGGGAGGCGGCGGCGCGCCCGGCCCCGCCCGCCGGCCCGAGCGUCGGACGCGGCCGCGAGCCGAGCCAUGGAGCCUGAGCCAGUAGAGGACUGUGUGCAGAGUACUCUAGCGGCCCUUUACCCACCUUUCGAGGCAACAGCCCCCACACUGUUGGGCCAAGUGUUCCAGGUGGUGGAGAGGACUUAUCGGGAGGAUGCACUGAGAUACACACUGGACUUCCUGGUGCCUGCCAAGCACCUGCUUGCCAAGAUCCAGCAGGAAGCCUGUGCCCAGUACAGCGGUUUCCUCUUCUUCCACGAGGGCUGGCCCCUCUGCCUGCAUGAGCAGGUAGUGGUGCAGCUAGCCGCCCUCCCCUGGCAGCUGCUGCGCCCGGGAGACUUCUACCUGCAAGUGGUACCCUCAGCAGCCCAAGCACCCCGCCUGGCGCUCAAGUGCCUGGCCCCAGGGGGUGGGCGAGUGCAGGAGCUGCCUGUGCCCAAUGAGGCUUGUGCCUACCUGUUCACACCUGAGUGGCUACAAGGCAUCAAUAAGGACAGGCCCACAGGUCGCCUCAGUACCUGCCUCCUGUCUGCGCCCUCUGGGAUUCAGCGACUGCCCUGGGCUGAGCUCAUCUGCCCUCGAUUUGUGCACAAAGGAGGCCUCAUGGUUGGACAUCGGCCAAGCACACUACCCCCAGAACUGCCCUCUGGGCCCCCGGGGCUCCCCAGCCCCCCACUCCCUGAGGAAGCCUUGGGCACCCGGAGUCCCGGGGACGGGCACAAUGCCCCCGCUGAAGGACCUGAGGGCGAGUAUGUGGAGCUGCUGGAGGUGACACUGCCUGUGAGGGGGAGCCCCAUGGAUGCUGAAGGCUCCCCCGGCCUCUCCCGGACCCGGACAGUACCCACACGCAAGGGUGCUGGAGGGAAGGGCCGGCAUCGGAGACACCGGGCGUGGAUGCACCAGAAGGGUCUGGGGCCUCGGGACCAGGAUGGAGCCCGGCCGCCUGGUGAGGGGAGCAGCACUGGAGCCUCCCCUGGGUCUCCCCCGGGAGCUGAGGUUGAGGCUCUCCCAGAGGCAGCAGCCCUGGAGGUAGCUGAGCCCCCGGCAGAGGCACUGGGAGAAGCCUCUGAGUCUUGCCCUCUGAGGCCAGGGGAGGUUGGAGCAGGACCAGGCCAGGGGGCUGAAGGGCUGCCUGGUACCCCUCGGAGAACAGGCAAAGGAAACAGGAGAAAGAAGCGAGCUGCAGGCAGAGGGGCUCUUAACCGAGGAGGGGACAGUGCCCCAUUGAGCCCUGGGGACAAGGAAGAGACCAGCCACCAGGAAACCCUUGUCAGCCUGCUCCCACCACAUGAACACGAGCUUCCAGGAUGCAGCCCAGUUAAGGAGGAACAUGAAGGCUCCGGGAAGCCAGAACAUGAACCGAGAGAGGAGCUCAAGCCAACAGACAAAGAAGAGCCUCUGUCCCAAGAAGUCUGCAGGCCUGUAGAAGAAAGCGCCAGAGAAAGAGAACAGGAGGGGCUAAGCCUGAUGUGCAUGGCAGCGCCCGACGACCCAGAAGGGCUCCUCUCCAACCCCCUAAAACCAUCCCCAGAGACUGUGCAAGAAGUGAAAGGGGGGAGCAUUCCGGAAGAAGGCCCCCCAGUCUCCAUCUCUGAUGACCCUGGUGUAGCUUGGGACUUAAUGGCAUCUGGAUUCCUCGUCCUGACUGGAGGGGUGGACCAGAGUGGGCGAGCUCUGCUGACCAUUACCCCACCGUGCCCUCCCGAGGAGCCCCCACCCUCCCAAGACGUGCUGAGCACUGCUCUUCAUUACCUUCACUCACUGCUCAGACCUGAUCUACAGAUACUGGGGCUGUCUGCCCUGCUGGAUCUUCGCAAGGCACCCCCACUGCCUCCAGCUCUCAUUCCUGUCCUGAGUCAACUUCAGGACUCGGGAGACCCUCCCCUCAUUCAGCGGCUCUUGCUUCUCACUCUUGAUGAGCCUCCAGUUGAACUCCAUGGACUUCAGGGUGCUGAGUUGCUAUCAGAGGGUGAUCUGAAAAGAGUGGCCAAGCCAGAGGAGCUGCAGUGGGACUUGGGAGGUCACAGGGAGCCCUCUCCCAGUCACUGGGUAGAGACACACCAGCAAGUGGCAAGGCUGUGCCGCCUGUGCCGAGGCGUGCUGGGCUCUAUACGGCAAGCCAUUGAGGAGCUAGAGAGAGCAGCAGAGUCAGAGGGAGAGGAGGUGAUAGGGAUGCCUGAGCCCCUACAGAAGGUACUGGCAGAUCCCCGGCUGACGGAACUGCAGAGGGACGGAGGAGCCAUCCUGAUGAAGCUGCGUUCCACCCACAGCAGCAAGCUGGAAGGCCCAGGCCCAGCUGCACUGUAUCAAGAGGUAGAUGAAGCCAUCCACCAGCUCGUGCGCCUCUCCAAUCUGCACGUGCAGCAGCAGGAGCAGCGGCAACGCUCGCACCGACUGCAGCAGGCACUACAGUGGCUCUCGGGCCCCGGAGAGGAGCAGCUGGCGAGCUUUGCUGUGCCUGGGGACUCCCUGCCUGCCCUACAGGAGACAGAGCUACGGUUCCGGGCUUUCAGUGCUGAGGUUCAGGAGCGCCUGGCUCAGGCAAGGGAGACUCUGGCCCUGGAAGAGGACGCUGCCUCCCAGAAGCUUCUGGAUGUCUUUGAACAGCGCCUGGAGCAGGUGGAGAGUGGCCUCCAUCGGGCUCUGCGGCUACAGCGCUUCUUCCAGCAGGCACACGAAUGGGUGGACGAAGGUUCUGCGAGGCUGGCAGGAGCGGGACCAGGGCGGGAGGCGGUGCUGGCAGCCUUGGCCCUGCGGCGCGCCCCGGAGCCCAGCGCUGGCACCUUCCAGGAGAUGCGGGCCCUGGCCCUGGACCUGGGCAGCCCGGCAGCCCUUCGAGAAUGGGGCCGCUGCCGGGCCCGCUGCCAAGAGCUGGAGAGGAGGAUUCAGCAACAGCUGGGGGAGGAAGCGAGUCCCCGGGGCCAACGGCGACGACGAGCAGACAGUGCAAGCAGCGGAGGGGCCCCACGGGGCCCCCACAGCCCUUCACCCAGCCUCAGCUCCCUGCUGCUCCCCAGCAGCCCCGGGCCACGGGCAGCCCCGUCCCACUGCUCCCUGGCCCCCUGUGGGGAGGACUAUGAGGAGGAGGGUGCCGAGCUGGGUCCGGAAGCAGAAGGCAGACCACCAAGGACUGUGCUGAUCCGAGGCCUGGAGGUCACCAGUACGGAGGUGGUAGACAGGACGUGCUCACCCCGGGAACACGUACUGCUGGGCCGGGCCGGGGGACCAGAAGGGCCCUGGGGCGUGGGCACCCCCCGGAUGGAGCGCAAGAGGAGCAUCAGCGCCCAGCAGCGUCUGGUGUCUGAGCUGAUUACCUGUGAGCAAGAAUACGUGGCGGCCUUGAGUGAGCCGGUACCACCCCCGGGGCCUGAGCUGACCCCAGAAUUGCGGGGCACCUGGGCCGCUGCCCUGAGCGCCCGGGAGAGGCUCCGCAGUUUCCACCGGACACACUUUCUGCGGGAACUUCAGGGCUGCACCGCCCACCCCCUGCGCAUUGGGGCCUGCUUCCUUCGCCAUGGGGACCAAUUCAGCCUUUAUGCCCAGUACGUGAAGCACCGGCACAAACUGGAGACCGGUCUGGCUGCCCUCAGCCCCCCAACCAAGGGCACCUUGGAGGGGGGUCCUCACCUGCCCCGGGCCUUGCAGCAGCCCCUGGAGCAGCUGGUCAGGUAUGGGCGGCUCUUAGAGGAGCUCCUGAGGGAAGCUGGGCCUGAGCCAAGUUCUGAGCGCCAGGCCCUGGGGGCCGCUGUGCAGCUGCUCCAGGAACAAGAGAUCCGCGGCAGAGACCUGCUGGCUGCAGAGGCGGUGCGUGGCUGUGAGAUAGAUCUGAAGGAGCAGGGACAACUCCUGCACCGGGACCCUUUCACAGUCAUCUGUGGCCGAAAAAAGUGCUUUCGUCAUGUCUUUCUCUUUGAGCAUCUCCUCCUGUUCAGCAAGCUCAAGGGCCCUGAGGGGGGGUCGGAGACCUUCGUUUACAAGCAGGCCUUUAAGACUGCCGACAUGGGGCUAACAGAAAACAUCGGGGACAGUGGGCUCUGCUUUGAGUUGUGGUUUCGGCGGCGGCGUGCACGAGAGGCAUACACCCUGCAGGCAGCCUCACCAGAGAUCAAACUCAAGUGGACAAGUUCUAUUGCCCAGUUGCUGUGGAGACAGGCAGCCCACAACAAGGAGCUUCGAGUGCAGCAGAUGGUCUCCAUGGGCAUUGGGAAUAAACCCUUCCUGGACAUCAAAGCACUUGGGGAGCGGACACUGAGCGCCCUGCUCACUGGAAGAGCCGCCCGCACCCGGGCCUCGGUGGCCGUGUCAUCCUUUGAGCAUGCCGGCCCCUCCCUUCCCGGUCUCUCCCCGGGAGCCUGUUCCCUGCCUGCCCGCGUCGAGGAGGAGGCCUGGGAUCUGGACGUCAAGCAAAUUGCCCUGGCUUCCCCUCCAGCCCCAGAAACACUUGACUCUUCUGGAGAUGUGUCCCCAGGACCGAGAAACAGCCCCAGCCUGCAACCCCCACACCCUGGGAGCAGCACUCCCAUUCUGUCCAGUGGAGGGAUCUUAGGGCUAUCCCGCCAGGCCUGGCUGAGAGGGAUGAAGGUCAGAAGUGAAAAAGAAUCUUUAAUAAGGAGUGUAGUGCAAGAGUGAGAGAAAGGGGAGAAUUCUAACAGACUGGUUUGAAGUUGGACUCAAUCAGCAAAAUUCAGGAGUGAUGAAGAGGAAAAAAGGAGCCAUACCCGGGCCCUGAGCGACCCCACCACGCCUCUGUGACUGGAGAAGAUCCGGAGCUUGGCUACCGUCCCUCCUCUCAGCACACUUUGGGCUGGGAUGCUGAGGGCACAUAGUGGAGGACUGGAAGAGCACUGAAGUCCUUCCCUCUGCUUCCUGGACAGAGAGGAGGUCAAAGGACUAGUAUGUUUCCCUGCUACCACUGUCUCUAGCUCUUCCCAGCCAGGUGCCUUCCUACAAGAACCAGAAUGUCCACACUUGCUUGCCUUUAUACCCUGGAGGUGGGGAAAUUUUCCCCCGUCCAGUCCUUCCCCAUCCGGGGCCAGUGCAUACUCCCAGGACACCGCUCCGUGUCAGCCCUGCCUCCAUAGCCUGUGUUCUCCCCUCAUUCUGCCCCUGACUCUUCCUGAGAAGACUCAUCUCUGCCAGUUCCUGGCAACUCCGUUCUUGGAGAAGGGGGCAGGGGUCAUAGGACGCAGAGCUAUGUAAACCAUUACAGAAGAGUGGGGCAGGGAACUGCAAACUUUAUAUAUGUAAUUACUGUUAUUAUAAUACUAUUGUCAUAUUAAAUAUAUUUACUCACA